UACAGAGGGUGCGAGCGUUAAUCGGAAUUACUGGGCGUAAAGCGUGCGUAGACGGUUAUUUAAGUCGGGUGUGAAAGCCCCGGGCUCAACCUGGGAAUUGCAUUCGAGACUGAAUAGCUAGGGUACGGUAGAGGGAAGUGGAAUUCCCGGUGUAGCGGUGAAAUGCGCAGAUAUCGGGAAGAACACCCGUGGCUAAGGCGGCUCUCUAGUACGGUACUGACGCUGAGACGCGAAAGCGUGGGGAGCGAACAGG
Molecule: ribosomal RNA, 253 nt
Filed under: uncultured bacterium
Lineage: Bacteria
Description: partial 16S ribosomal RNA
Rfam family: Bacterial small subunit ribosomal RNA
Source: RNAcentral